This 77-nucleotide transfer RNA is filed under the name Acidobacteria bacterium RIFCSPLOWO2_02_FULL_59_13. Its description in RNAcentral is "tRNA-Arg". It matches the Rfam family "tRNA". From Rfam's summary of the family: Transfer RNA (tRNA) molecules are approximately 80 nucleotides in length. Their secondary structure includes four short double-helical elements and three loops (D, anti-codon, and T loops). The record is from RNAcentral. Lineage: Bacteria; Pseudomonadati; Acidobacteriota.
GCCCCAGUAGCUCAGGAGGAAAGAGCAGCGGUUUCCUAAACCGCGUGUCGGCGGUUCGAGUCCGUCCUGGGGCACCA